RNAcentral lists this transfer RNA (2772 nucleotides) under Heterocephalus glaber (naked mole-rat). Its description in RNAcentral is "lncRNA (ENSHGLG00000045907.1)". The stretch from base 1924 to 1996 matches the Rfam family "tRNA". The record is from RNAcentral. Lineage: Eukaryota; Metazoa; Chordata; Mammalia; Rodentia; Bathyergidae.
GCAAUUUAUUUUUCACCAGAGCCUGGGGCCAAGCACAAAGCAGCUUCCCAGUAAAUACAAAGAGUUCAACUCCACUGAUCGAGAAGACUCAGGGCCUCAUGGCCUUGCUUUACACCCCGCCCCUCUGACUGCAGGGGGCUUGUGUCUUCUGGUGUCUUUGACUCAGUGGGGCAUGAAGCACAGAGCUCAAGGCUGGUGGGGGCCCCUCUGCAGGCAGGAUGUAGGGCAGCUUCAUGAGGCUGGGUUCCUGGGCGGCUUUGUCUCCAGAUCUCCAUCCCUGAGGUACACAGGUGAGGCAUGGCAGGCUACCGUGUGGGCCCAAAGUCUCCCAGCCCUUGGCUGCUCCCUCUCCUCACUUGCAGAGGCUGGGCGAUGCCAGGUGCCAUCGCUGCUUGCAGUUGCCCCUGCAGCCCGUGAGCUGGCAGAAGGCUGGCUCUGUCAAAAUUAGCCCCAAAGGUAGAAGUACAAGAAACAAAUGGCCAGAAAGAAGAGGAAUAGCUGCUCAGUGCUCACGGAGAAUCCCGUCUGCCUUCAGCUGAGUAGCUGUGUCCUAUAGCCCCUGGGUGCUGGGGCUGAGUAGGCUCCUCUUGCCCUACACCUGUUCUGCUUCCUCAGGUAGGUCUCCAGCUUGAGGCCACUCAGCUGCUAGGCACCUUUCCAUUCCCCAGGAAAUGCUGGAAGUAGGUCUGUAGACAAAGAGACCUGCCCCUGUUGCUCAGCCUCCUCUGGUGGCAUUGUGAUGCUGGCCUGACUGCCAUUAUGAUGGCCGCUGGGUGGGGGUGGGGCUGCUUCGGGCAGGGCCCCUCACGCAGAACUCUCAUGGGCAUCAUGAACCAGCUCCCUCCCUAGGCCUGCUGUUACCUGGCCCAGUCUCCCAGCCAGCAUCUUCCCUCCAUUCUGGGCAGGGGAGGGUCUAGGCUGGGAAUUGGCCAAAGCUGUGCUGUCCAGUGUAGUGGCUUCUAGCCACAUGUGGUUCUUGACUUAAAAGCAAAUAUAAUGUAAGACUCAGUUCCUAGUCCUGCCAGCCACAUUUCUACAGUAGUCACAUGUGGGUGUGUGUUGACUACGCAGACAAUGACCAGUUCCACCACAGGAAGUUCCACUGGCCAGUGCUAGAUCAAAUAGGAACUUGGCACUGCCUUGGGUGGCACCCCCUGACCUACACUCCCUUCCAUACCAAGAGCUGCCAAGAGUGACCCUGCCACUCUUGAUGACCCAAAGGAUGACACAGUUUCCCCACUGGCGCAGAGAUAAGAAGAUGAAGGAGGAACAAAGCCUUGGGGUGGUGGGAUUCCAGUCCAAGCAUCCUCUGGAAAGAUGUGUAAAGAAUUCCUGCCUCUGGGUGUGGUGACACACCUGUAGCCCCUGGGGGGCUAAGGAAGGAGGAUCACUUGAGACCAGAAAUUUGAAGCCAAACCCAAGGAACAGACAAAACAGGCAGAGACCCUGUCUUUAAAGAAAAAAGAAAAGAAAAAAAAGAAAGAAUUCCUGCCCUACCAGCAAGUAGGUUGGGCUGCCAGGGCUGGUCCUUGUAGGACCCAGGAGCCAUCAGCCUGCACGGAGGGGCCAGCUGUAUCCAGCCUGUGGACCCAAGAACAAAUGACUUACACAUAUGUGAUUUUCAUGUGUUAUCCAGGAGGUCAUGGAGACUUGGAAGGCCAAGCAUAUUAAAAAUGCUUGCAUUUAAAAGCUGGGUGUGGUAGUGUAAUCCUAGCACUUGGCUGAAGCAGGAGGAUUGCUGUGAGUUCAAGGCCAGCCUGAACUACUAUAGCAAGACCCCAUCUCAAAAAAAUAAAGUUUGCAUUCAAACUUUUUUUUUUUUUUGGUACCGGGGAUCAGUCUUGGGUCAUUGUGCUUGGCGCAGCAGGUGAGUAAACCACUGAGCUAAAUCCCCAGCCCUGCAUUCAAACUUUUAAAAGGGACUGGGGUGUAGCUCAGUGUCAGAGUGCUUGCUUAACCAUGCAUGAAGAUCUGGAUUCAAUUCCCAGUACCUCAACAACAACAAAAACUAAAAACAGAAGGAGAAGAGAAGGAGAAUGAGAGGAAAAGUUCCUACAUGUUGAGCACAAUCCACAUAACUGGGGUUAGAAGGAAACUGAAACUCAUUAAGUGAGGAGCUGAUGUGACUGGCUGCAUUCUGUAGUUGGAGCCCACUGGCCAAAGAACCUGGGGAACCUUUUCACUUGAGUCCAGAUCCACCACACAGAAUGGGAAGCACAGCAGUCUCUGAGUGGAGCACCAACCUCAUGACCAAGUGGCCUUGGAAAACUCACUAUUAUUAUACCUCGGCACAAAAAGCAGACACUUCUCUAAAUAAAGGCUCUCAGAGCUGCCUUCGCAGGAGGGUGCAGCUCCUGGCUCCUUGAUCAAUUAGAACAGGAAAGUAGCCCUCAGGUGCAGCUUCUGGAAGAGAAAGGAAGGCCUUUCUGCUGCAGGGGGCCGGGGAGUGCAGGGAACAGGAUCCUGCGAGGUGUGUGAUGCAUGUGACUGAAGGAGAUCAAGUCUGAAGCAAACUGGGAGAUUGGGAAGCUGUGUGGGGGUCAGUACCAAAUAUGCUCAGAGUGAUCCAGGCAGAGUGGGAAGGCACAAGGGACAGUCCCAGGAAGACAUCAAGUAUUGGAAGGGUGGCUGGGACCACUGAAACCCCUCUCAACUGGUGGAGAGGAUUGGGCUUGAAAAUGGGAGGAACAGACCUGGGUGUGGCUGCAUAUACCUGUGAGGCUGAAGCAGGAGGAUUCCAAAUUCAAGGCCAGCUCAGGCACAUAGCAAGAC